This is a long non-coding RNA of Halichondria panicea, 456 nucleotides long. RefSeq lists it as uncharacterized. The record is from RefSeq and is a predicted model, not a curated record. The transcript is spliced from 3 exons. NCBI's taxonomy places the organism in Eukaryota, Metazoa, Porifera, Demospongiae, Suberitida, Halichondriidae.
CCACACCGUCCAGUCAAACAACCUGUCGAACACUUGCAUCCUUUAAGGAGUGAGUUGACUCGAUCACGGACAGCCUGUACGUUGGUGGCAGUAUCCCAUUUAAUGAGCCCACUGUAUAACUGGAGAGUUGUUUUGAGAGGUCGUUGAUGAGCUGCUCGAGGUCUGCAUCUGUACUCUGGCAUUUAUUACUUUAGAGAAUAAUCAGGACAAACCUGGCGAGUGAAAUCAAUCUUCAAGGAGGCUGCAAUGGUACGUGCUGGCUCACUUUGCCAGUUGCUUGGACUACUCAUAUUCCCACUGACGCCAUGGCACAACUCACAUACUCCGUUGUCUGCAACACUGUCACUGACUUCCCCAAAAGAAAGCUGCCUUCUAGUUUUUCGAGCCACUCCCCUAGACACUAUUUUACAACUGUUUGUAUUAAUUUUUUAUAUCAUUAUUGUGUGACACAACAAA